This 253-nucleotide ribosomal RNA is filed under the name uncultured bacterium. RNAcentral's name for it is "partial 16S ribosomal RNA". It matches the Rfam family "Bacterial small subunit ribosomal RNA", at positions 524 to 776 of the family's 1533-position model. The record is from RNAcentral.
UACGUAGGGUGCAAGCGUUGUCCGGAAUUAUUGGGCGUAAAGGGCUCGUAGGCGGUCCAUCGCGUCGGGAGUGAAAAGCUGGGGCUUAACCCCAGUCCUGCUUCCGAUACGGGUGGGCUAGAGGUAGGUAGGGGAGAUCGGAAUUCCUGGUGUAGCGGUGGAAUGCGCAGAUAUCAGGAGGAACACCAAUAGCGAAGGCAGCUCGCUGGGACGGUAUUGACGCUAAGGCGCGAAAGCGUGGGGAGCAAACAGG